GUAACGAGCGCAACCCCUAUACUUAGUUACCAGCACGUAAUGGUGGGGGACUCUAGGUAAACUGCCUGCGCAAGCAGAGAGGAAGGUGGGGAUGACGUCAAAUCAGCACGGCCCUUACGUCCAGGGCCACACACGUGCUACAAUGGCCGAUACAGAGGGCAGCUACCUGGUGACAGGAUGCAAAUCUCGAAAGUCGGUCUCAGUUCGGAUCGGAGUCUGCAACUCGACUCCGUGAAGUUGGAUUCGCUAGUAAUCGCGCAUCAGCCAUGGCGCGGUGAAUACGUUCCCGGGCCUU
RNAcentral lists this ribosomal RNA (295 nucleotides) under uncultured Sphingobacteriales bacterium. Its description in RNAcentral is "partial 16S ribosomal RNA". It matches the Rfam family "Bacterial small subunit ribosomal RNA", at positions 1089 to 1382 of the family's 1533-position model. Lineage: Bacteria; Pseudomonadati; Bacteroidota; Sphingobacteriia; Sphingobacteriales. The record is from RNAcentral.